ACGUAUGGGCUGCCGGGAAUACUGUAAAGCUAGGGAGUGGGAGAGGUAGACGGUACUCGGGAGGAAGGGGUAAAAUCCUUUGAUCUCUCGAUGACCACCUGUGGCGAAGGCGGUCUACCAGAACACGUCCGACGGUGAGGGAUGAAAGCUGGGGGAGCAAACCGGAUUAGAUACCCGGGUAGUCCCAGCUGUAAACUAUGCAAACUCAGUGAUGCAUUGGCUUGAUGCCAAUGCAGUGUUGCAGGGAAGCCGUUAAGUUUGCCGCCUGGGAAGUACGUACGCAAGUAUGAAACUUAAAGGAAUUGGCGGGGGAGCACCACAAGGGGUGAAGCCUGCGGUUCAAUUGGAGUCAACGCCAGAAAUCUUACCCGGAGAGACAGCAGAAUGAAGGUCAAGCUGAAGACUUUACCAGACAAGCUGAGAGGUGGUGCAUGGCCGUCGCCAGCUCGUGCCGUGAGAUGUCCUGUUAAGCCAGGUAACGAGCGAGAUCCUUGCCUCUAGUUGCCACCAUUAUUCUCAGGAGUAGUGGGGCGAAUUAGCGGGACCGCCGUAGUUAAUACGGAGGAAGGAAGGGGCCACGGCAGGUCAGUAUGCCCCGAAACUCUGGGGCCACACGCGGGCUGCAAUGGUAACGACAAUGUGUUCCGAAUCCGAAAGGAGGAGGUAAUCCUCAAACGUUACCACAGUUAUGACUGAGGGCUGCAACUCGCCCUCACGAAUAUGGAAUCCCUAGUAACUGCGUGUCAUUAUCGCGCGGUGAAUACGUCCCUGCUCCUUGCACACACCGCCCG
Molecule: ribosomal RNA, 791 nt
Filed under: uncultured sediment archaeon
Lineage: Archaea
Description: bacterial SSU rRNA
Rfam family: Archaeal small subunit ribosomal RNA
Source: RNAcentral